CCUACGGGAGGCUGCAGUGAGGAAUAUUGGUCAAUGGCCGGAAGGCUGAACCAGCCAUGCCGCGUGAAGGUCAGUGCCCUAUGGGCGUUAAACUUCUUUUGUGCGGGAGUAAUAAUGGUCACGUGUGGCCAGACGAGAGUACCGUACGAAUAAGCAUCGGCUAACUCCGUGCCAGCAGCCGCGGUAAUACGGGGGAUGCAAGCGUUAUCCGGAUUUAUUGGGUUUAAAGGGUGCGUAGGUUGUGAGGUAAGUCAGCGGGGAAAUGCCCCCGCUCAACGGGGUGAAGUGCCAUUGAUACUGCCUUGCUGGAAUGCGGAUGCCGUGGGAGGAAUGUGUGGUGUAGCGGUGAAAUGCAUAGAUAUCACACAGAACACCGAUUGCGAAGGCAUCUCACGAAUCCGCGAUUGACGCUGAUGCACGAAAGCGUGGGUAUCAAACAGGAUUAGAUACCCCUGUAGUC
This 460-nucleotide ribosomal RNA is filed under the name uncultured bacterium. RNAcentral describes it as "partial 16S ribosomal RNA". It matches the Rfam family "Bacterial small subunit ribosomal RNA", at positions 338 to 795 of the family's 1533-position model. The record is from RNAcentral.